Prunus avium (sweet cherry) is the source of this 820-nucleotide non-coding RNA. The record is from RefSeq and is a predicted model, not a curated record. Lineage: Eukaryota; Viridiplantae; Streptophyta; Magnoliopsida; Rosales; Rosaceae.
UUCACUGUGUCAAUAGAAAAGGAAUUUCAUAGACCUACAGUUAAGCGUGGAAUACAUUUAGGCAUAUUUUCCACAUUAUUUACACUAUAUACUAAACAAAUUUGACUGUUAAAAUAUGAUAUUUUGCAGCUGCGUGAAUAUAUUGAUGAUACAGAGGAUUAUAUCAAUAUUCAGCUUGAUAACCACAGGAAUCAGCUGAUUCAGCUUGAGCUUUUUCUCAGUGCUGGGACUCUAUGUAUGGCCAUAUUUUCAUUGGUGGCUGGAAUUUUUGGCAUGAAUAUCCCAUAUACGUGGAAUGAUGGUUACGGAUACAUGUUCAAAUGGGUUUGCAUUGUCACGGGAAUAGUCUGUGCUUGUGUGUUCAUAAUAAUCAUGUCAUAUGCUCGCUUCAAGGGGUUGGUCGGGUCGUGAACUUUAUGAAGGAAUUCUGAGAUUGAUCUUUUGGAUCGUCUGAGAAAUAGUGUCGAAGGGUUUUUAGCAAAUAUGUGAAGGAAUUUUGAUAAUUCUUUUGCCCUUAAAGACUGUCGAUGAUGGCUGUUAGGGUUGAAGAGGGAAAAGUCUCACUCUGGGAAAUUUUAUAUCGGAUCAGAUCUGGCAGCAGCCUUUCUAAUCCAAGGAUAUUGCAAAGUUUAAUAAUUGUCAACAACUUGAUUAACUGGAUUCAGUCACCAACACAGACUGUAAAACCAAUUACAGAAUGAAUACAUAUUUCUUGAUUUUAGUUCAUAAUUCUUGUUCUGUUACACACAAGUAUUCAAUCAAACAUACAAUACUGUAACUGUACUCAGCAACAAUUUAAUGCAUUCUUCAAAUUGCGCAU